ACUACACUACCAUACCUGUCAACCGGUUAUCAGUGCCCUACCUUAUUACAGACCAAUUGCGACAUUAUUGGUCACCACAUACCCUUAUAAAUCUCAACGUUCAUCCUACAAAGUCUCAUCACAAGAGAGGAACGCAAACGAGACAACUUUGUGUUCGCCUGUAUUGACCAGAAAACUAAAGUUUCCCUGUACAAGAAUACGGGGUAAACCGUAUGGCUUGACACGGUGUUGUACGGGGUUGUGUGAGUUGCCAAACACAAGAUUGAGAAGCGCCGAGGCUGCUGGAAACGGAGAGAUUGGUUGAAUCGUCGCUUGGGAAGCAUCCUCCUGAUCGCCGAGAAGAUGGAAGUUCUUCUCCCCACCAGAGAAUGUGUGGGCUGCCUGCGAUGGAGACGUCCGCUGGAAGUGCCGGCUGUCGCGUCCAUCCGUCCGUUUGAGAAGACAGAAGAGUCUCCUGCUGGAGGACUGAAGGCUGGCAUGGAGGGAACUGUUGGAACGGGUGCCACCUGUAAGAUCGUCUCGUCUUGGAGACGGUGAACAUCUGUGCCUGUGGUCUGUGCAUGAAAAUUAAACAGCAGCAUCAACCGCCCGUCACCAACUAAUCGUCGGUGACGUGACACUUGCAGCGCUUGUGCCAGGCCAGGUGCACUUUGAGGCCACGUCAAGUGUCGAAGGCCUGCUGGCAGGAGGUCACGGAACACACCCAGGCGGCGGUGGUGGUGGGGGCUCGGCACUGGAUACACUGACCCCGUCGAUCGGCGUCUGAAUCCGGAGGUCGACAGUUCAAUAGGCACUGGUGGAGGCGGGGGGGGUUAAUAAACCUGCCCACCCCCCACCCCCCACCCCACGCUCCCAUUGUUUCAACUUCCACGCCCGGGGAGAUGGCAGUGCAGAAAUUCAAGCAAAUGAAAGUGAGAGCAAAGAUAAGAAUUGUCACGGAAAUGUUUUUUUGCAAGUGGAGGUGAAAGCUCGAUCUUAAGUGAAAUAUUAAAUUCCCUGCAGCCCACACACUCCACUGUACGUUUUAGUUUACCAGGUAAGGCCCCGCUGAGCUUGUCGCUCUUUCUCAGCAGGGACCCGACCAUCGGGAGUGAUAGCUCAACGGAGCGGACUCCGACGUGGAAAUGUAUGGCGGCCAAAAUACUCUUCAAGACGCGUGAUGUUGAUUAUUGAAGGUGGAGGGAGAAACCGGAGAAAGAUCCACAAGACCACGGGGGAGACGGCUAGAGACGCACAGCAAACUCCAAAUGUACAGCAGACGCCUGGGUCGGAAUCGAACCCACGACCUGUAUACCGGGCGAGAUGGUUAACUUUGUUUCAUGCCUUUGACCGUUCCCAAUUUGGGAUUCCCUCCAAAUCGUCUCUUCUUUCCAAGCUCUUGCGUUACCCUUGCUUCCUUCAAUAAACGUGUUACAACUUUGA
Non-coding RNA from Petromyzon marinus (sea lamprey), 1422 nucleotides. NCBI's taxonomy places the organism in Eukaryota, Metazoa, Chordata, Hyperoartia, Petromyzontiformes, Petromyzontidae. The record is from RefSeq and is a predicted model, not a curated record.